This 253-nucleotide ribosomal RNA is filed under the name uncultured bacterium. RNAcentral's name for it is "partial 16S ribosomal RNA". It matches the Rfam family "Bacterial small subunit ribosomal RNA", at positions 524 to 776 of the family's 1533-position model. The record is from RNAcentral.
UACGUAGGGUGCGAGCGUUGUCCGGAAUUAUUGGGCGUAAAGGGCUCGUAGGCGGUCUGUCGCGUCGGGAGUGAAAACCCGGGGCUCAACCCCGGGCCUGCAUUCGAUACGGGCAGGCUAGAGUUCGGCAGGGGAGACUGGAAUUCCUGGUGUAGCGGUGAAAUGCGCAGAUAUCAGGAGGAACACCGGUGGCGAAGGCGGGUCUCUGGGCCGAUACUGACGCUGAGGAGCGAAAGCGUGGGGAGCGAACAGG